CUUAGGCAAAUGCUGCAUAUAAUUGUUAUGUAGAGGAAAGUCCAUGCUCACACAAGCUGCGAUGCUUGUAGUGUUCGUGCUUAAGGAAAAAAUAACUUAAGGUAGCUUUAGCUAACGGCUUCGAGGAAACCUCAAAUGGUUUUAGUAGAUAUAAAAGUGCCAUAGAGACGAGUCAUUUGGGAAACUAAAUGAGUGGAACGGGGUAAACCCCACGAGUGAGAAACCCAAAUUUUGGUAGGGGAGCUUGAAUUUAGGAAUUGAACUAAAAAAAGCCUUAAUAAGGAGAUAAAUAUUUGCCACUUUCAAAUAGGAAGUACAGAACAUGGCUUAUU
RNAcentral lists this RNase P RNA (332 nucleotides) under chicken gut metagenome. RNAcentral describes it as "Bacterial RNase P class B". It matches the Rfam family "Bacterial RNase P class B". From Rfam's summary of the family: Ribonuclease P (RNase P) is a ubiquitous endoribonuclease, found in archaea, bacteria and eukarya as well as chloroplasts and mitochondria. Its best characterised activity is the generation of mature 5'-ends of tRNAs by cleaving the 5'-leader elements of precursor-tRNAs. Cellular RNase Ps are ribonucleoproteins. The record is from RNAcentral.